UUAAUUUAAAUUUGUAUGGAGUUGGAAUGUUUGCGUAAGUUUGCCGCUAGGGGCGGUGUUCCAACUGCAUACAAAUACUAGUUA
RNAcentral lists this microRNA precursor (84 nucleotides) under Bombyx mori (domestic silkworm). RNAcentral describes it as "mir-2807 microRNA precursor family". It matches the Rfam family "mir-2807 microRNA precursor family". The record is from Rfam by way of RNAcentral. Lineage: Eukaryota; Metazoa; Arthropoda; Insecta; Lepidoptera; Bombycidae.